This 116-nucleotide ribosomal RNA is filed under the name Pteropus alecto (black flying fox). The record is from RNAcentral. Lineage: Eukaryota; Metazoa; Chordata; Mammalia; Chiroptera; Pteropodidae.
GUCUACGGCCACGCCACUCUGAAUAAGCCUGAUGUCUGAUCUCGGAAGCUAAGCAGGGUCAGGCCUGGUUAGUACUUGGAUGGGAGACCACCUAGGAAGACCAGGUGCUAUAGGCA